UCUCCGAGUCACUUGAGGGUUGCUCAGCCA
This 30-nucleotide non-coding RNA is filed under the name Alexandrium minutum. The record is from RNAcentral. Lineage: Eukaryota; Dinophyceae; Gonyaulacales; Pyrocystaceae.